GCCGCCGGGGGGCUUACGCCCCCGGGCCCGCGCCCGCCGAAGACACCCUCGAACUCUGUCUGAAGAUUGAAGUCUGAGUGAAAAUAUAAAUUAUUUAAAACUUUCAACAACGGAUCUCUUGGUUCCGGCAUCGAUGAAGAACGCAGCGAAAUGCGAUACGUAAUGUGAAUUGCAAAUUCAGUGAAUCAUCGAGUCUUUGAACGCACAUUGCGCCCCCUGGUAUUCCGGGGGGCAUGCCUGUCCGAGCGUCAUUGCUGCCCUCAAGCCCGGCUUGUGUGUUGGGCCCCGUCCCCCGAUCUCCGGGGGACGGGCCCGAAAGGCAGCGGCGGCACCGCGUCCGGUCCUCGAGCGUAUGGGGCUUUGUCACCCGCUCUGUAGGCCCGGCCGGCGCUUGCCGAUCAACCCAAAUUUUUAUCCAGGUUGACCUCGGAUCA
This 434-nucleotide ribosomal RNA is filed under the name Penicillium chrysogenum. RNAcentral's name for it is "eukaryotic LSU rRNA". The stretch from base 99 to 251 matches the Rfam family "5.8S ribosomal RNA". Lineage: Eukaryota; Fungi; Ascomycota; Eurotiomycetes; Eurotiales; Aspergillaceae. The record is from RNAcentral.